AAUCCAGUCUUAAGGGCCAACAAUCCAGGAUUCUCUCCGUCAACCAAGGCCUAUCUGGGAAGAAGUGCAAGAGCAACUAGAAAAGAAAAAGAAAAAGGCGCCAAGGCUUUGUAUGAAUUUGAAGAAAAAACUAGAAAAACACAGGAAGAAAUUGUUAAGUGAAAGUAAGAGCUUAUCCAAAAAAAGAGAAAAAAAAAGAAAAAGAAUAAAUCUGGUAGGUAUUCAUCGUCUUCAUCAUGCUCUGAUUCUUCCAGCAGUUCUUCUGAUUCUGAGGAUGAGGAUAAGAAACAUGGAAAAGGGAGAAAGAAAAAGAACCAUUCACAUAAAUCUUCUGAAAGCUCCAUGUCAGAAACUGAAUCAGACAGUAAGGAUAGAAAGACAAUAAGGAAGAAAGACUUCUUUUUAAAGAAAAAGAAGGACCCAACUGAGAAAGAAAAAGGCUAUUAAACGACUCAGCAAAAAGAAACCCAUAUUCUGAAGAUAAAUCUUUAUCACCUGAGUCCUUGUCAGAAUCAGAGUAUAUUGAGGAGAUAAGAGCAAAAAAGAAGAAAAGCAGUGAAGAAUGAGAAAAAACAACACAAAAAAAGGAAAAAGGAGCAUGAGAAAAACAGUAAGAAGAGAAAGAAGGCUGCUAGUUCAAGUCCUGACUCAUCAUAAU
Molecule: long non-coding RNA, 658 nt
Filed under: Homo sapiens (human)
Lineage: Eukaryota; Metazoa; Chordata; Mammalia; Primates; Hominidae
Description: non-protein coding lnc-KRAS-3:1
Source: RNAcentral